Molecule: ribosomal RNA, 445 nt
Filed under: uncultured bacterium
Lineage: Bacteria
Description: partial 16S ribosomal RNA
Rfam family: Bacterial small subunit ribosomal RNA
Source: RNAcentral
GUGAGGAAUAUUGGUCAAUGGGCGAGAGCCUGAACCAGCCAAGUAGCGUGAAGGAUGAAGGCUCUAUGGGUCGUAAACUUCUUUUAUAUGGGAAUAAAGUUUUCCACGUGUGGAAUUUUGUAUGUACCAUAUGAAUAAGGAUCGGCUAACUCCGUGCCAGCAGCCGCGGUAAUACGGAGGAUCCGAGCGUUAUCCGGAUUUAUUGGGUUUAGAGGGAGCGUAGGUGGAUUGUUAAGUCAGUUGUGAAAGUUUGCGGCUCAACCGUAAAAUUGCAGUUGAAACUGGCAGUCUUGAGUACAGUAGAGGUGGGCGGAAUUCGUGGUGUAGCGGUGAAAUGCUUAGAUAUCACGAAGAACUCCGAUUGCGAAGGCAGCUCACUAGACUGUCACUGACACUGAUGCUCGAAAGUGUGGGUAUCAAACAGGAUUAGAAACCCGAGUAGUCC